UACGGGGGGGGCAAGCGUUGUUCGGAAUUACUGGGCGUAAAGGGCGCGUAGGCGGCCUGCUAAGUCGGAUGUGAAAUCCCUCGGCUCAACCGAGAAACUGCAUCCGAUACUGGCGGGCUUGAAUCCGGGAGAGGGAUGUGGAAUUCCAGGUGUAGCGGUGAAAUGCGUAGAUAUCUGGAGGAACACCGGUGGCGAAGGCGGCAUCCUGGACCGGUAUUGACGCUGAGGCGCGAAAGCUAGGGGAGCAAACGGG
Molecule: ribosomal RNA, 253 nt
Filed under: uncultured bacterium
Lineage: Bacteria
Description: partial 16S ribosomal RNA
Rfam family: Bacterial small subunit ribosomal RNA
Source: RNAcentral